RNAcentral lists this ribosomal RNA (492 nucleotides) under uncultured bacterium. RNAcentral's name for it is "bacterial SSU rRNA". It matches the Rfam family "Bacterial small subunit ribosomal RNA", at positions 32 to 500 of the family's 1533-position model. The record is from RNAcentral.
AAUCAACGCUGGCGGCGUGCCUCAGACAUGCAAGUCGAACGCGAAAUUUCCCUUCGGGGAGAAAGUAGAGUGGCGCACGGGUGAGUAACACGUGGGUAAUUUACCUUCGGGUGGGGAAUAACAACCGGAAACGGUUGCUAAUACCGCAUGAUGCAGCGGCACCACAUGGUGACAGUUGUUAAAGCGGGGGAUCGCAAGACCUCGCGCCUGAAGAGAAGCCCGCGGCAGAUUAGCUAGUUGGUAAGGUAAUGGCUUACCAAGGCAACGAUCUGUAGCCGGCCUGAGAGGGCGGUCGGCCACACUGACACUGAAUAACGGGUCAGACUCCUACGGGAGGCAGCAGUCGGGAAUUUUGGGCAAUGGGCGCAAGCCUGACCCAGCAACGCCGCGCGAAGGAUGAAGUAUUUCGGUAUGUAAACUUCACAAGAAUGGGAAGAAUAAGUAGGGGACAAUACCCCUAUGAUGACGGUACCAUUUGUAAGCUCCGGCUAA